GUGCCUGUAGCUCAAUUGGAUAGAGCAUCUGACUACGGAUCAGAAGGUUGGGGGUUCGAGUCCCUCCAGGCACACCA
Molecule: transfer RNA, 77 nt
Filed under: Desulfofundulus thermobenzoicus
Lineage: Bacteria; Bacillati; Bacillota; Clostridia; Eubacteriales; Peptococcaceae
Also listed under: 2 other names
Description: tRNA-Arg
Rfam family: tRNA
About the family: Transfer RNA (tRNA) molecules are approximately 80 nucleotides in length. Their secondary structure includes four short double-helical elements and three loops (D, anti-codon, and T loops).
Source: RNAcentral